UGAUGGAAUCUCUGAUGAUCACAGCGUUGCGUCCUGUCUCGGAUGGAGAUCUUGAAGGCAGGAGGGGGAGAAUUCGUCCCCGGGGCCCGGCCGCGUCCUCCGUUGUGGAUGCACCCAGGGUCCGUGGUGUCCCGGCAUCGCAGUGAAGAAGAUCUGGGAAGAUCGCGUCCUGGGUGCACCGGGUCUGUGCAGAGAAACACACGGAGUAGACGUGGAAGAACUGUUAACAGCACGCUGUAUACUUACCCCGGACUUGUUAGCGUCAGCCCGUUGAUGAUUCCAGCGAGGCUCUCCGCUCUCUCAGCUGGGCCUGCCUCACCUCCAGGUUGUGAAUCUACUUUCCCACGGCCUCGAACGUGUCCUUGCCUGCAAUCAAAGAGAGCAGUGUGUGACCACCAGCCCCAGCACGAAGGGAGAGCAUGGACCCACACAGCACAGCGCACCACAUGAGGAGAGAGAGAGAGAGAAGAAGCCGAGCACCAAAACACCUCACGUGUCGUUGCUGGAAGUCUGUCAGUCCAGAGGUGAGGAAGACAUACAGAGUGGAGUUGGAGCUCAGCAGGUGUGAUGCAUCUACAGAAACACUACUGGAUUCUGAAGAAGGGGGUCUU
Long non-coding RNA from Carassius auratus (goldfish), 611 nucleotides. RefSeq lists it as uncharacterized. The record is from RefSeq and is a predicted model, not a curated record. The transcript has 3 exons. Lineage: Eukaryota; Metazoa; Chordata; Actinopteri; Cypriniformes; Cyprinidae.